Molecule: long non-coding RNA, 1429 nt
Filed under: Equus caballus (horse)
Lineage: Eukaryota; Metazoa; Chordata; Mammalia; Perissodactyla; Equidae
Description: lncRNA (ENSECAG00000045120.1)
Source: RNAcentral
UAGCUCAAAUAACGAUAGAUAUUUUUAUUAGCUAUUGUAUUAUUAAUAUCAACAAUAUUGAUUAUAAAAUACAAUAUGUACAAUCACAGUUUUCAUAUCUUUGAAGAAGUUAGUAUCAUUGUUUUACUACCAAGAACUGAAUCAUGGAGGGAAUAUUGGAAUGAGCACUGUUACACAUUUUUUUGAGGAUGGAAUUGCAUUUUUAGAGGGCCAGUUGGCAAUGCAAAUCAAAAGCCUUAGACUCAUGCACAGUGUUUGACCCUAUAAUUGUCACAUUUCUUGGUAUUUAUUCAAAAGUAAUAAGCAUGGAUAUGAUGGAGAAUUUAGCUGCAAAGUUGUUCAUUAUACUGCCAUUUACAAAACAAGAAAUUGGAAGCAACCUAAAUAUCCAAAUAUAAAGUCUAGAUUAAUUAAGUUAUGGAACAAACAUAUAACGUAAUAGUGUGAAGUCAUUAAAAAUAAUGUGAUUGAAAUUUAAUAACAUGCAAAUAUAUUCAUAACAUCUUCAUUAAAAUAACAGCUUACAAAAGUGUAUGUAUUGUUGAUUCCCAAAUUUAUUUUAAAAUAUUUUACCAGAAACACACAAGUUUGAGAGUCUCUAAACCAAAUUGCUAACAGUGAUUAUCUCUGAACAGUAAAAUUAUAAAUUUUCUCAUUUCAGGUGUUUUUGGUCGCACAUAACCACAAAACCAAUUCAAAUUGGCUUAAAAAUAAAAGCAGUGUAUUGCCUCAUGAAAUAGAAACCCUUAGACUAGAGUGGCUUUCUGGCACAGUUGCAUCAGGAUGCCUGUUCUCUUCCUCUGAGAUGCUCCCGGCUCUGCCUCCUCUUCUGUACGCAUCUUCAUCCUCAGUAUGGCUUGCUUCCUGAAGCGCUUAGCAGCUGGGGUUCUAGGCCACACAUCUGCACACCACACAGGGCACUUUAGCUUAGCCUUGACCAUAAAGAGGAGUUUUGCAUUUCAUCUGACUUGGCCAACCAGAGCCAGACAUCGGUCAGAGGAACACCCAGAACUCAAUGGUUAUGUUGCUUGGACAUUGCUGUCCAUCCCUGGGUCAGUCAAUAUAGCAAAAGGAGCACCAAGCUGAUCUGUUUACUUCAGAGACAACGCUGGAGGAGGAAUGAGGUCAAUCUCAUGCAGAUUCUGUGGUUGCCACAUGAUGAGGAGAGAUGGAACAGAUGUUGGAGGAGCAUUGGUGGAGACGUGGGGGCCUCUGCAGUAUGGCGUUGGGGUAUGCUUAAUGGGGUUGGGAAGUGUGCAUGGACCAGGACUGUGUUGAUGGUGUGCAUGGUCCUGUGGAGAGUGACAGAAGACCUGUUCUCCACAAAUAGCCACAAAAAGGAUCAGCUCCAGCUUCCAAAGCCUGAAGCAAUUGGGUUCUCCUGAGCCUAGGGCCAGCCCCACUCAGCUGCACUCCUAAGAGAACUGAC